ACCGGCAGCUCACCCCUUUUCCCUUUCCCCUCUUCCUCCCUCUUUCUUAGCCGGUUUGAUAAGUCUCUGGUGAAAUCCCGCAGCUUAACUGUGGGACUUGCUGGAGAUACUAUUAGACUUGAGGUCGGGAGAGGUUAGGGGUACUCCCAGGGUAGGGGUGAAAUCCUAUAAUCCUGGGAGGACCACCUGUGGCGAAGGCGCCUAACUGGAACGAACCUGACGGUGAGUAACGAAAGCCAGGGGCGCGAACCG
Molecule: ribosomal RNA, 252 nt
Filed under: uncultured prokaryote
Description: partial 16S rRNA
Rfam family: Archaeal small subunit ribosomal RNA (bases 42-252)
Source: RNAcentral